Molecule: ribosomal RNA, 393 nt
Filed under: uncultured bacterium
Lineage: Bacteria
Description: partial 16S ribosomal RNA
Rfam family: Bacterial small subunit ribosomal RNA
Source: RNAcentral
AUACGGAGGACGCGAGCGUUAUCCGGAUUCAUUGGGUUUAAAGGGUGCGCAGGCGGCCGUGCAAGUCAGCGGUGAAAGCCCGGGGCUCAACCCCGGAAGUGCCGUUGAUACUGCAUGGCUGGAAUGCGGUCGAGGCGGGCGGGACGGGGCGGGUAGCGGUGAAAUGCGUAGAUAUGCCACAGAACGCCGAUAGCGGGGGCAGCUCGCCAGGCCUGCAUGGACGCUCGGGCACGAAAGCGUGGGGAUCGAACAGGAUUAGAUACCCUGGUAGUCCACGCCGUAAACGAUGGGCGCUCGUCGUCGGCGGCAGACAGUCGGCGGCCAAGCGAAAGCGAUAAGCGCCCCACCUGGGGAGUACGGUCGCAAGGCUGAAACUCAAAUGAAUUGACGGGG